AAAACGGUAAUGUGCGCAUAUGCAAUGUUGGGUACUAUUCUCCAACUUAACGUUGAGUAGUUUGUACCUAACGUUGGAUGAAAAUAAUUGAACCCUAUAGCGAGCUUUGUUGAUGGUGGUUUUGCUCGUUUUAUUUACUUCGUGAUUAGUUUUUUCCGCGGUGGCAUUUCGUUCGCGGUUUCGUUUAUGAACCAUUGACUGUUCGAUGUCGAAUGUUCGAAAUUGGACUGCAGUGUUACGUAUAAACAGCAGAAAAUGGAACAACAGCAUCAAUCUUCUUAUGACUUAGAUGGAUCAUCGAGACUACCAGACAUUUUCUUACCGACCCGUGAUAGCUAAUCAGGAAGCUCAAUAGUAUGCCAAACUGUGGGACUACUGCGGAUCGAAUCCCGAGAAGUCCGAUGCCUUCCAGCAUCACUUGCUUGUGUACAACGCUUCCGAUCGUCACUAGGUCACUCUCUGUUUGCUAGAUCAGCUGGACGAUCGAUAACAUGAUAGAUACCCAACAAACAUUUUUGUUUAAGAAUAGCUUAUACAUUUAUUUUACAGCUAAUACCCAUGGAACAAGUGCUUGAUAGGCUAUUAUACAACAGAAAUAUUCCUUGGGUAUUCAGAACAGAACUAUUCCGAUGCAAUCAAGCUUGUCACAGCCGGUUGCAUCUGUUUCGGGUUUACAACCACUCCAAUGUAGUGCAGGUGAUGGUGAACAAUGUUUAAUAGCAUCUUAGAUCAGAUUACCUUGGAUUAACUCGAACAUAAACGAUUCGCUUGUACAGCGUUGAUCAGCAUCAAAUUUCACUGUCGAAAUUUAUCGUUCAAAAGAUCACUCGUUACUCAAAACUAUAUAUAGUCACAUUUACAAAAUAAAUUUAACUAUCUUACGA
Sabethes cyaneus is the source of this 884-nucleotide long non-coding RNA. RefSeq lists it as uncharacterized. The transcript is spliced from 3 exons. The record is from RefSeq and is a predicted model, not a curated record. Lineage: Eukaryota; Metazoa; Arthropoda; Insecta; Diptera; Culicidae.